This 503-nucleotide ribosomal RNA is filed under the name uncultured bacterium. RNAcentral describes it as "partial 16S ribosomal RNA". It matches the Rfam family "Bacterial small subunit ribosomal RNA", at positions 30 to 523 of the family's 1533-position model. The record is from RNAcentral.
AUUGAACGCUGGCGGCAGGCUUAACACAUGCAAGUCGAGCGGGGUGAUGGUGCUUGCACUAUCACUUAGCGGCGGACGGGUGAGUAAUGCUUAGGAAUCUGCCUAUUAGUGGGGGACAACAUCUCGAAAGGGAUGCUAAUACCGCAUAAGUCCUACGGGAGAAAGCAGGGGAUCACUCGUGACCUUGCGCUAAUAGAUGAGCCUAAGACGGAUUAGCUAGUUGGUGGGGUAAAGGCCUACCAAGGCGACGAUCUGUAGCGGGUCUGAGAGGAUGAUCCGCCACACUGGGACUGAGACACGGCCCAGACUCCUACGGGAGGCAGCAGUGGGGAAUAUGGGACAAUGGGGGGAACCCUGAUCCAGCCAUGCCGCGUGUGUGAAGAAGGCCUUAUGGUUGUAAAGCACUUUAAGCGAGGAGGAGGCUCUUUUGGUUAAUACCCAAGAUGAGUGGACGUUACUCGCAGAAUAAGCACCGGCUAACUCUGUGCCAGCAGCCGCGGUAA